Molecule: ribosomal RNA, 185 nt
Filed under: uncultured bacterium
Lineage: Bacteria
Description: partial 16S ribosomal RNA
Rfam family: Bacterial small subunit ribosomal RNA
Source: RNAcentral
CCUUCAUGAAGUCGGAAUUGCUAGUAAUGGCAGGUCAGCAUACUGCCGUGAAUACGUUCCCGGGCCUUGUACACACCGCCCGUCACACCAUGAGAGUUGGAGAUACCCGAAGCCUGUGAGCUAACUUUUAGAGGCAGCAGUCGAAGGUAGAAUCAAUGAUUGGGGUGAAGUCGUAACAAGGUAGC